UGGGACUACAGGGGUUUCUAAUCCUGUUUGAUACCCACGCUUUCGUGCUUCAGCGUCAGUUGUACCUUAGUAAGCUGCCUUCGCAAUCGGAGUUCUGCGUGAUAUCUAUGCAUUCCACCGCUACACCACGCAUUCCGCCUACCUCAUCUACACUCAAGCCCGCCAGUAUCAAUGGCAAUUUAGGAGUUAAGCUCCUAGAUUUCACCGCUGACUUAACAGGCCGCCUACGCACCCUUUAAACCCAAUAAAUCCGGAUAACGCUCGCAUCCUCCGUAUUACCGCGGCGGCUGGCAC
Molecule: unclassified non-coding RNA, 294 nt
Filed under: uncultured fungus
Lineage: Eukaryota; Fungi
Description: sequence contains ITS1
Source: RNAcentral